Vidua macroura (Pin-tailed whydah) is the source of this 1276-nucleotide long non-coding RNA. RefSeq lists it as uncharacterized. The record is from RefSeq and is a predicted model, not a curated record. The transcript has 3 exons. NCBI's taxonomy places the organism in Eukaryota, Metazoa, Chordata, Aves, Passeriformes, Viduidae.
GGUGCCUGGAGCACUUCCCACAUCUCUUCCCUCCUCCCAGCUCUGCAGCCAUCACACCCCGGGUGCCUGAUGACAAGUGGCAGUGCUGCCACACCUUCCAGAUGUGUGCCUGCUGCCCAAGGGCACGGCACAGAUGGCGAGUGCCAGCGUUCCCUGGAAAGCUGGGGCCAGGCACGCAGGCUGUUCUGCCUGUGCUGGGCUCCUCCAGCCCGUGCUGGGGGGAAAUGAACCGGCACAAACAGCUCGAGCUUUCAUCUCCAGGGAGCUGUUACUGAAGGCAGCGGUCCAUGGGACACUCCUCUUGCAGCCCAGGCAGGGGCAGGGCACCACAGCAGCAAAGAUUAUCACUGGGGCACAGGGAGGAGGGCGAGGGAUGCUGGGCCUGUCCCCACCCCCUGCUCCAGCUUUCCUCUGCACAGAGCCACCAGCAUCCAAACCAGGUCAAUCUUGCCCAGGAACCAGGUGCAGAGGAAGAUUUAGGGGAUCUGGAUUAUGCCACAGGGGACAGGAGGGCUCCCAGCAGAGCUUGUCCACCAAUUUUGGGACACUGGGUACAACUGAUGGGGCCCAAGCCCAAACCCAGCACUUGCUUUCAGGUUUAUGCAGUCACGAGCUGCACUGCAACAGGCAGAACAGCAAAUCCUCCACCUCUGGAGAGGACACUUGGGAUGGGGAAGAGGAAGACAAGACUUCCUGCUGCACUGAGGACUGCAUCCAAGCCCUGCUGUUACCUUGGAAGCAGCUGAACAUAACCUGUAUUUCCAUGUGUCCUGAGUGGGUACAGAGCUCCCAUGGCCCAGGAGCAGCUGCAGCUCUUGUGAAAUGAGGAAGGAAGAAGCAGCAAUUCCUCUCUGCAAGGCUAUAAAGCCAAUAAGGACCCCCUGAGAUGAAAGGUACUCCAUAAAUCUGAGCUGUUAUUAUAAAACCAAUCUCCUCCACAUCUCUUAAUAAUGCAGAUUAACUGUGCAGUACCACCACUAUAAUUAAUAUCAUAAAAGUCAGAGAUGGGAAAGGCCAGCAGGCCAGCGAGGCCAUGCCAUGGACUGCUCCCCACAGCACAGGGAAAGGGGAAACUCCUGGGUGCCACAGGAGCUGGGGACAGCAAAGGGAAUUAUCUAGGUUGGAGAAGACAACUGAGUCAAACCAUUAACGCAGCACUGCCAAGGCCACCACAAACCAUGUCCCCAGGUGUGACUUCCAGAAACCUUUUGAAUCCCUCCAAGGAUGGUAUAACUUCACUGCUGACCUGAGCAGUCUGUGCCAGGGCUUGACAACA